RNAcentral lists this ribosomal RNA (365 nucleotides) under Clavispora lusitaniae. Its description in RNAcentral is "eukaryotic LSU rRNA". The stretch from base 63 to 212 matches the Rfam family "5.8S ribosomal RNA". The record is from RNAcentral. Lineage: Eukaryota; Fungi; Ascomycota; Pichiomycetes; Serinales; Metschnikowiaceae.
UUUAACACAUUGUUUUUGCGAACAAAAAAAUAAAUUUUUUUAUUCGAAUUUCUUAAUAUCAAAACUUUCAACAACGGAUCUCUUGGUUCUCGCAUCGAUGAAGAACGCAGCGAAUUGCGAUACGUAGUAUGACUUGCAGACGUGAAUCAUCGAAUCUUUGAACGCACAUUGCGCCUCGAGGCAUUCCUCGAGGCAUGCCUGUUUGAGCGUCGCAUCCCCUCUAACCCCCGGUUAGGCGUUGCUCCGAAAUAUCAACCGCGCUGUCAAACACGUUUACAGCACGACAUUUCGCCCUCAAAUCAGGUAGGACUACCCGCUGAACUUAAGCAUAUCAAUAAGCGGAGGAAAUGAUCUUCCCUUGUCAU